This 352-nucleotide ribosomal RNA is filed under the name uncultured Sphingobacteriales bacterium. RNAcentral's name for it is "bacterial SSU rRNA". It matches the Rfam family "Bacterial small subunit ribosomal RNA", at positions 1030 to 1382 of the family's 1533-position model. The record is from RNAcentral. Lineage: Bacteria; Pseudomonadati; Bacteroidota; Sphingobacteriia; Sphingobacteriales.
UAUACAAGGUGCUGCAUGGUUGUCGUCAGCUCGUGCCGUGAGGUGUCGGGUUAAGUCCCAUAACGAGCGCAACCCCUAUCAUAGUUGCCAUCAGGUCAAGCUGGGGACUCUAAUGAAACUGCCUACGCAAGUAGUGAGGAAGCGGGGAUGACGUCAAAUCAGCACGGCCCUUACGUCCAGGGCUACACACGUGCUACAAUGGCCGAUACAGAGGGCAGCUACCUGGUGACAGGAUGGCAAAUCUCCAAAGUCGGUCUCAGUUCGGAUCGGAGUCUGCAACCCGACUCCGUGAAGUUGGAUUCGCUAGUAAUCGCGCAUCAGCCAUGGCGCGGUGAAUACGUUCCCGGGCCUU